Molecule: ribosomal RNA, 1505 nt
Filed under: metagenome
Description: bacterial LSU rRNA
Rfam family: Bacterial large subunit ribosomal RNA
Source: RNAcentral
AGUGAUCAGAAGUGAGAAUGUUGACAUGAGUAGCGACAAACAGGGUGAGAGACCCUGUCGCCGAAAGUCCAAGGGUUCCUGCUUAAAGCUGAUCUGAGCAGGGUAAGCCGGCCCCUAAGGCGAGGCCGAAAGGCGUAGUCGAUGGGAACCAGGUUAAUAUCCCUGGGCCAGGAGAUGGUGGCGGAUCGCAGAGCUAGUUUUUCCUUAUCGGAUUGGGAGGGCUGGUGAGUGGUUCCUGGAAAUAGCCCUCCAUGAGACCGUACCCUAAACCGACACAGGUGGACUGGUAGAGAAUACCAAGGCGCUUGAGAGAACCACAUUUAAGGAACUCGGCAAAAUACCUCCGUAAGUUCGCGAGAAGGAGGCCCCGUUGGCAGGCAACUGUUGGCGGGGGGCACAAACCAGGGGGUGGCGACUGUUUACUAAAAACACAGGGCUCUGCGAAGUCGUAAGACGACGUAUAGGGUCUGACGCCUGCCCGGUGCCGGAAGGUUAAAAGGAGAUGUGCAAGCAUUGAAUUGAAGCCCCGGUAAACGGCGGCCGUAACAAUAACGGUCCUAAGGUAGCGAAAUUCCUUGUCGGGUAAGUUCCGACCUGCACGAAUGGCGUAACGACUUCCCCGCUGUCUCAAAUGUGGACUCAGCGAAAUUGAAUUGUCUGUGAAGAUGCAGACUUCCCGCGGUUAGACGGAAAGACCCCAUGCACCUUUACUAUAGCUUCGCACUGGCAUCAGGAUUGUGAUGUGCAGGAUAGGCGGUAGGCUUUGAAGCGGGAACGCUAGUUCCCGUGGAGCCAUCCUUGAGAUACCGCCCUUCGCACUCUUGAUGUCUAACCGCGGCCCGUUAUCCGGGUCCGGGACCCUGCGUGGUGGGUAGUUUGACUGGGGCGGUCGCCUCCCAAACAGUAACGGAGGCGCGCGAAGGUUGGCUCAGACCGGUCGGAAAUCGGUCGUUGAGUGCAAUGGCAGAAGCCAGCCUGACUGCAAGACUGACAAGUCGAGCAGAGACGAAAGUCGGUCAUAGUGAUCCGGUGGUCCCGAGUGGAAGGGCCAUCGCUCAACGGAUAAAAGGUACGCUGGGGAUAACAGGCUGAUGAUGCCCAAGAGUCCAUAUCGACGGCAUCGUUUGGCACCUCGAUGUCGGCUCAUCUCAUCCUGGGGCUGGAGCAGGUCCCAAGGGUAUGGCUGUUCGCCAUUUAAAGAGGUACGUGAGCUGGGUUUAGAACGUCGUGAGACAGUUCGGUCCCUAUCUGCCGUGGGUGUAGGAUACUUGAGAGGAGCUGCCCCUAGUACGAGAGGACCGGGGUGAACGUUCCACUGGUGGACCAGUUGUCGUGCCAACGGCAGUGCUGGGUAGCUAUGAACGGACAGGAUAAACGCUGAAGGCAUCUAAGCGUGAAGCCCCCCUCAAAACCAGGUAUCCCUUGAGAGCCGUGGAAGACCACCACGUCGAUAGGCCGGAGAUGUAAGUGCAGCAAUGCGUUCAGUUGACCGGUACUAAUGGCUC